RNAcentral lists this ribosomal RNA (460 nucleotides) under uncultured bacterium. RNAcentral's name for it is "partial 16S ribosomal RNA". It matches the Rfam family "Bacterial small subunit ribosomal RNA", at positions 338 to 795 of the family's 1533-position model. The record is from RNAcentral.
CCUACGGGUGGCAGCAGUGAGGAAUAUUGGUCAAUGGACGAGAGUCUGAACCAGCCAAGUAGCGUGAAUGAUGACUGCCCUAUGGGUUGUAAACUUCUUUUAUAUGGGAAUAAAGUGUGCCACGUGUGGGAUUUUGUAUGUACCUUAUGAAUAAGGAUCGGCUAACUCCGUGCCAGCCGCCGCGGUAAUACGGCGGAUCCGAGCGUUAUACGGAUUUAUUGGGUUGAAAGGGAGCGUAGAUGGAUUGUUAAGUCAGUUGUGAAAGUUUGCGGCUCAACCGUAAAAUUGCAAUUGAUACUGGCAGUCUUGAGUACAGUAGAGGUAGGCGGAAUUCGUGGUGUAGCGGUGAAAUGCUUAGAUAUCACGAAGAACUCCGAUUGCGAAGGCAGUUCACUGAACUGCAACUGACACUGAGGCUCGAAAGUGUGGGUAUCAAACAGGAUUAGAUACCCCUGUAGUC